AAGGAAUGAUGUUCAAGAAAAAGCUGCUAACUUUUUUCUUAAGCGGUUUAAAUCCGUUUAUUCCUUU
RNAcentral lists this transfer RNA (67 nucleotides) under Protohermes dichrous. Its description in RNAcentral is "tRNA-Ser". Lineage: Eukaryota; Metazoa; Arthropoda; Insecta; Megaloptera; Corydalidae. The record is from RNAcentral.